GGGGGAGUAGCUCAGCUGGUUAGAGUGCUUGCUUGACAUGCAAGAGGUCCCCGGUUCGAUCCCGGGCUUCCCCACCA
This 77-nucleotide transfer RNA is filed under the name Bacillota bacterium. RNAcentral describes it as "Firmicutes bacterium (anaerobic digester metagenome) tRNA-Val". It matches the Rfam family "tRNA". From Rfam's summary of the family: Transfer RNA (tRNA) molecules are approximately 80 nucleotides in length. Their secondary structure includes four short double-helical elements and three loops (D, anti-codon, and T loops). Further hydrogen bonds mediate the characteristic L-shaped molecular structure. tRNAs have two regions of fundamental functional importance: the anti-codon, which is responsible for specific mRNA codon recognition, and the 3' end, to which the tRNAs corresponding amino acid is attached (by aminoacyl-tRNA synthetases). tRNAs cope with the degeneracy of the genetic code in two manners: having more than one tRNA (with a specific anti-codon) for a particular amino acid; and 'wobble' base-pairing, i.e. permitting non-standard base-pairing at the 3rd anti-codon position. The record is from RNAcentral. Lineage: Bacteria; Bacillati; Bacillota.